Long non-coding RNA from Sapajus apella (tufted capuchin), 4180 nucleotides. RefSeq lists it as uncharacterized. NCBI's taxonomy places the organism in Eukaryota, Metazoa, Chordata, Mammalia, Primates, Cebidae. The transcript has 3 exons. The record is from RefSeq and is a predicted model, not a curated record.
AAGCUUCCUGAAAAAAAGGAAAAAAAAAAGUAGGCGGGGGGUGGAUUUUAAAGUGUAACAAGUCUUUAAUUCCAUGAGCAAAAUCUGAAUUUCUUCCCCAGACUGUAACUUUCAACCAUUCGAGAUCUGUGGUUAGAGACAGUGUCUAUGAGGUCACAUUGAAUCCUCCUCCCUUAAAACUAUGCCAAGCAUGAAACAGACACUAAAUAAAGUGAACAUUAGAGUAGAAGUGUCACAGUCCAAAACAAUGCCAGGAGCCACACCAUGCAAGAAUCUAAAGGGUAUAAUGAUCUAUAUGUAUAGAUUAAAAAACAAGGGAGUUAGUAGAAUUACUCUUAAAGACCAAGAAGUAAUGGUUUCCUUUGUUACUUAGGGGAAAGAGGGAGGGACCAAAAGUAGGCUAUUGACCAGACUUUGUGAGUACCAAACCCUGUAGGAUACUUACAUUCAUUGUGACAGGGUUGGUAAAUGUUGAGUCUGGGGCUUGCAUUCUAAUUAGCAUUAUGUCUCGUAUUAAUGGAAAUGUAUGCUGCAUCCCUGAGAAUUAUCAGGGCUAAUAAGCAUCCCAUUUCCAAUGUCUUCUUCCCUAUAUGAGGUAGAUUAAGUCUGCAAAGAGAAGCAUUUAGUGGAAAAGGGAUGCACCAUAUAGCGUCCCUAGUAUUAAGAAAAAAUUUCAUUUUCCUUGAAUGGGUUCCUUACUAAGGAGCAGUUUGUUCAUCCCUAAUCACCACAUUCUCUCCAUUUCCAAAACAGACACAGAACCAAUAAAAGGAACUAUUGCUUGUCUCAAAUGCAGUAUAUUUGCUGCUUAUAUGGUCUUUGAUGAAUUCGGCCCUCGGUUUAUCCCUCUUCAGGGGGUUCCAGUCCAGUAAGGAAGGCAGCUUGGGGUCUCCAAAUUGGCCUAGACUCCAUGAGUGCGGCUGCCAAGGCAUUUGAUAGAAUGAAUAUUGCCAAGCUGUUCCUGCAUCUCUUGGGGAGCUGCUAAAAUGAGGCACUGUCUUACAAACAGAGGGAAUAGCUUUAACUUCAAAGAAUUUGUAUUCAUUUUCUGGUAAAGUCAGGAAAAGCAGCUCAUCCACAGCAGUGACUGGAGAGUGAGGAAAAGAGUUGGUGUGUCCCCAGAAACUCUGCCCUUCAAAGAAGGAUUGUUGGCAUUGCAAAAUGAUCCCACAGCGUGCUGGAUUCCUCAUGACUUUGUCAGUUAUGGAAGACAUCUCGGGUUCUUUGUAGCAUAUAGCUUAUGGAAAAUAGAUAUCCAUGAGUUAAUCUAUCAGCAGAUUAAAUACCCUACCAGUAACUUAAAUAUAGUAAUUUUAUAAGUUUCUUUAAUAAAAGAGUAGAUUUUCAGAUGCUGCCACUCAUCAUCUAUAUAUUUUAGUGCUUUUGAGUAUUUCUAUAUAAUUAUAUUUAUUACUGUAAACUAUAAGUGCUGUAAUUUCGUUUGACCUAUGUUGCAGUUGGAUACAUUAUUUGAUCAGAGCUCUCAAUGAAUCAUUUUAUGCACACAUAUUUAGUUAAUUGGUCCCCCCAAACCCCCGCCUGUGUUUAUAUGUAAUAUAGUCUAUAAGGGAAAGGAAAUCAGCCUAUGUGCCCCUGAGUCUGGUAGAAGAGCAAUUAAGUUCUAUCAGAACAAACAGCUGUCAAUAAUGAGGUCUGAAUUAAAAUUACUACCAAAGAAAGAAAUCUAGACAUCUGCAGGAAAUGUGAAAAUAUUUUUAUAACCUAAUAGCUGAGAUCUGGACAGGGGUAUCACUGAGUUUUCCCAGCUGUACCUGCAAUGUAUUUUGAAAUAUUCCCAGACUGAAAGAACACUGGAAUUCAUUGCAUGAAGUAGAUUGCAUUUAAAAAGAUGAUGUUGGCAGCCUUUGAACAGUGUGUAUUUUGAUUUCAUGUAAUCAGCAUGAAAAUUUUCUAUUUCAAACUAUUUUGCUGUGCCCCUUGGCCAUAAAAUGAAGCUUAAAAAUAGUUCUGUUAUCUUUGUUUUGUAUCUUUCCAAUCAGGGUUCUAUUGCUUGGAUAUUUUUGUUUCUGUCUUUGGAAAAAUACUUUUAGGUCUUAUUACAUGAUAUCUGAUUUCCUCGCAUUUGGGGUUGUUUCUUGCAAAGCAAAUUUCACAAGGUGGGCUUCAGGCAUCAAUUACAACAUAAUUCCAUAUAUUUUCAGGUAUCUGAAGAUAGUAAAGUAUUUGGUCUUUAAAAAAAAAGAAAAAACUUUACAUAUUUGAAAGCAGCCCUUUGCAGUCCCUCCUUUCCAUUCAUCUUUACAUUGCUGAGGACAAAAUAUCCAUAUGAAUGAGAGAUUACGAACAUUUAUGUAUAUGUAAAUAUACACAUAUGUACAUUAUUAUGAGUGUUUCUAUGCAUCUUUUUUACUUUUACGUAUAAAAACAUUAGGAAUGUUUUUGUAUCCUCAUUACCCAAAGUGUGGCCCGUGGACCAGCGGUAGCAGCAUCACUUUAGAACUUGCUGGAAAUGCACAGUCUUUGGGGCCACCCCAGACUUACUGAAUAAGAACCUCUGGGACAGAGUCUAGGACUCUGUGCUUUCACAUUCCCUAGCAGCAUGUUCAGACUACUCGAACAUAUAAUACGUUUAUUCUAUGUAUCUAUUGCCAUGCAGGGGUACACUGCACGGCAAUUGAUACAUAGAAGAGGAAUCUCUCAUUUUGCAUCCAUGGAGUUCAAUGAUUGAAUAUGAACUUUCAGCUCUUUGGUGUCACAGUCUUCUGACUCUUUCCCGUUUUCUAGUAUUAUUCUACAUGCGAGGCAAACCCUAUCCUCUCUGCUGUCAUCCUGAAACAUGACCAACAGGUUAUUCUAAAUAUACUUAAUACUCGUUUUUAUUUAUUAGUUAUUAUGUACACAUACCACAGUAACUAAAAGUCAAUCAUAGACCAAAAUAGUCUAAAAGAGAUAGAGCUGACAUAAAGGUAACUAGUUGAUACAUAACCAGGUAGGUUAGUCUGAAGAAAAGAGGUUUAUUUGGCCUAAAAUGGCUUCUUGCAGGCUGUACAGAAGCACGAUGCUUCUGGUGAGGGCCCCAGGAAGUUUGGUGGAAGGCAAAGUGGGAGCCAGCCACAUGGCAAAAGAGGGAGCAAUAGAGAGAUGGGAGAGGUGCCACCUUCUUUUUAAAUAAUCAGGUUUCCUGUAAACUCAAUACCUCUCAUUACCACAGGGAGGACACCAAGCCAUUCAUGAAGGAUCCGCCUCUCAUGCUCCAAACACUUCCCACCAGGCCCAACUCCCAACAUUGACGAUCAUAUUUCAGCAGGAGAUUUCCAGGGUACACAUAUCCAAAUUAUAUCACCAGGUACACAAAGAUCUAUUUUGACAGUGCUUUUAAAACCAUUUUUUUAUUUUUCAGUAGUGGAAUAGAGUGGGCGAGCUAAUGUUUCAUAAAUAAAAGACAAUUACAGGAACAGCAUUUCUCUCUUGGACCAAUAUUCUUAUAGCUUAAAUUGAUAGAAUUGUGAACCUUGGGUUCAUCUGGGGAGCUCCAAGGAAAUCUGUCAUCUGUUCACACUGAAAUCCCACUGGUGGGAGUGAGAAUCUGGGGGAAGGGGAAAUGUGGAAUCAAGUCUUAGCUCCCUAGUGACAGCCACGUGCUCUUGAUGAAAUUAUUAAGCCUGUAAAUACAUGCAACUACUUGAGUCAAACCAACGAACAAAAAAAACCUUAUAUUUUAACAGUACCUGUAUUCAAGGAGAUCAAAGGCCCAGAUGCUCAAAAUUCAUUAGAAAGUAAAGUUCAAUGAUUCGUAGAGAAAGGAAAAAGAAAAUUCUUUGUCUUGAAGCAGAUUAGAAGAAAAUUCAGUUAUGUGGAUAGCAAUUUAUAACUGAAAAUUAGAAACCUUUCUAUAAUUUUUUUUGUAUUGGUGUUAUUUCAUGAAAUUUUCAUUCAUCUUUUAGGAUUACUGUUACCAGUCAUGGUACAUAGUUAUUUCAGUGGAUGAAUGUAUUACAUAACAUUUUUCUGCUUAUUUUGCUAUUAUUUUACUGCAUUUGUUUGAGAAGGUGAAUCCCAUUUUACGUUUUGCACUGAGUGAUUCCAGCACCUUAUCAUUACAAUAGCAAGGUUAUGAAAAAGUGAAAAAAAGAAUAAGGAGUACUUAGCAAUGAUCCUAAACUUCUAAGUUUUGGUGAAAUCUAAAUAAGGUAUUAAAUUUUUCAAUUUACUAUUUAAU